UAACUGGGGCCGAGGUGGUGGGCGUGGUGGUGGCUGGGGUUAUCGAGGUUCUGGUUAUGGAAGAGGGAGAGGCGGAGGUGGCAGAGGCUAUGGCUAUGGCCGUGGACGUGGAAGGAUGGGUGGCCGCUCAAGGGGUGGCGGGGGUGGCAACCUGGCAUAGUUGGGAGGCGGCAUUCUAUAACAAAAUGCUUGCAUUGGCUUUGGCAAUUUCCGUAUGAAAAGUUUGUUUACAUUUCAAGAAAUUGUGCCCUGUUUACAAAAGUUGUUAAGCAGCUAUUGCUUUCUUUCUUUUCAACAUAUAUGAUGAUAUGAUAUGUGAACAAGCUAUGUUUAAAAUGUUUGCUUUUAUUGAAGCCAAUAGCAAGCAAUUAUGAUUUCUGUGUAA
This is a long non-coding RNA of Olea europaea var. sylvestris, 385 nucleotides long. RefSeq lists it as uncharacterized. The transcript has 2 exons. The record is from RefSeq and is a predicted model, not a curated record. NCBI's taxonomy places the organism in Eukaryota, Viridiplantae, Streptophyta, Magnoliopsida, Lamiales, Oleaceae.